Molecule: non-coding RNA, 1496 nt
Organism: Vicugna pacos (alpaca)
Lineage: Eukaryota; Metazoa; Chordata; Mammalia; Artiodactyla; Camelidae
Source: RefSeq, a predicted model, not a curated record
AGCAGUUUCCUCAAGCCCGCUCCUCGAGCGCCUCCCGCACAGCGACCGCGAGGAGAGGUGAGGGUGCAGAGCGCCCCGCCGGGCCCGCGGGCCAAACCCAGUACCUGGGCGGGCUGCCCGGCGGAGGGAACCAGGCCAGGCCGGGCCGCCUCACACCCGCGGCGGCGGCGGCGGCGGCGGCGGCGGCGGCGGAGGCGGGUUCUCUGCGCGCCCUCUCCGGGGAGGGGGCGGGGGCGGGGGCGCCCGCGGAUUGGUCGGCAGGCUCUGAUGGACAGCAGGCCUGUCCCGCCCCUCUCUGGUCGUGCAGGGCCGGCCCGCGGGCGGUUUCUGUGACUGUCAGACCCAGGUUUGUUGUACCCCUGCAGCCAGUGUGGCCUUGGAGGGUUCCGUCACUCGGAGUAGCCCCCUCAGGCCUGAGCACCCCCUGCAAGGCCUCCAGUAGUCUUCGCCUCUGCCCCUCGGCUGGACCAGUGUCCUCUCCACCCCUCGCUCCGACUCCAUGUGUGCAACCUGUCUGACAGAUGUUGAGCCAGGCAGAGCAGGACAGUGUUCUGCAGUUCAGAGCUGAGAGGCCCAGCAGAGCACCCAGCUGAUGCUAGAGAGAUCCAGGCUUCCAGGAAUGUAUGGAAAAAUGGAGGCAUGGGGAGAUUAAGAGACAUACUCAUGGACGCACAGCUAAGAGGUGGCGGAGAUGGGAUUCAAACCAAGGCGGCCUGGCACCAGAGUCCAUGCUAUGUUGCCUUCUGCGUAGCUGGACUCCAGCAUCCCAGGAAGGGCUUGACCGGAGGGAGUCUGUCAGAUCCUGCGCAUAUGGCCUCUGCUCCUGGACAUGGCUGCAAGUGGCUGCAAGUGGGAGGAGGAAAGCCUGAUGAACAAGCAAGGGGUGGGCCUCCUGACUCCAUGCUCAAGCAUCCUCCCUCCAGGGCCCUUCACACCUGGUCCUCACCUACCUGUCUGGCCUCUUCCUCAUCCCAGCUUCCCAUUCUCUCGCUUGCUUUCCAGGCUUGCUGCUACCACCCAGGAUGUCCUUCACAACUAGUCUUGACCAGCGUCUAGUUGCUCUGCACCUGCCCUCAGAAGAAAAAAGUUUCUUGCUGGAAAAGAACAGAUCCAGAACUGGCUAUCUGAUGUCCCAGCCCAGAAGAGUGAAGUAUAAAAGGCCAUAGCAGAUAUAAUUCUCUUCAUUUUGCUACCCCACUAUUCGGAUCCAAGAUACCUUAGAUUGCAAGUUCAUCAUGGACUUCUCAAAAGUUUUUGGUGGUGCCCUCUGAUGGUUACAAAGAAUUGCAACAGCUCGGUUGGCACGGUUAUAAGAUAGGAUCUUUGCUGGGAUGUUCUCAUCAGCUGUAAAGAAAGAAACAUGAUUCUAUGGGCACCAUAUAAAGAGUGGAAGAGGAAGGGAAUAGAAACCCUUGCAAGAUGAUGUCUGUAUAAUGGAAAUCCUGGAAGGAAAAGCAGAACAAACCAAGAUGAGCAAAUAAAGAUGUGAAUGAGCA